RNAcentral lists this ribosomal RNA (284 nucleotides) under uncultured bacterium. RNAcentral's name for it is "partial 16S ribosomal RNA". It matches the Rfam family "Bacterial small subunit ribosomal RNA", at positions 32 to 298 of the family's 1533-position model. The record is from RNAcentral.
AAUCAACGCUGGCGGCGUGCCUAACACAUGCAAGUCGAACGCGAAAGGGGCUUCGGCCCUGAGUAGAGUGGCGAACGGGUGAGUAACACGUGGGUGAUCUACCUUCGAGUGGGGGAUAACGUCCCGAAAGGGACGCUAAUACCGCAUGACGUUCUGGGUUUAAAGACCUGGAAACCAAAGCCGGGGACCGCGAAGGCCUGGCGCUUGGAGAGGAGCCCGCGUCCGAUUAGCUAGUUGGCGGGGUAAUGGCCCACCAAGGCGACGACGGGUAGCCGGCCUGAGGA